This 73-nucleotide transfer RNA is filed under the name Thermoprotei archaeon. Its description in RNAcentral is "tRNA-Gln". It matches the Rfam family "tRNA". From Rfam's summary of the family: Transfer RNA (tRNA) molecules are approximately 80 nucleotides in length. Lineage: Archaea; Thermoproteati; Thermoproteota; Thermoprotei. The record is from RNAcentral.
AGCCGGGUGGUGUAGCGGCCAAGCAUGGCGGGCUUUGGCCCCGCAGACAGGGGUUCGACUCCCCUCCCGGCUA